Molecule: non-coding RNA, 84 nt
Organism: Potamilus streckersoni
Lineage: Eukaryota; Metazoa; Mollusca; Bivalvia; Unionida; Unionidae
Source: the annotation of a GenBank genome assembly
GUUCUAGUGGCCUAGUGGUUAGAACGUCCGCCUCGAAUGCGGGAGGUAGUGGGUUUGAACGCCGGCCGAAUCAUACCAAAGACA